RNAcentral lists this transfer RNA (73 nucleotides) under Stegodyphus dumicola. RNAcentral's name for it is "tRNA-Met". It matches the Rfam family "tRNA". Rfam says of the family: Transfer RNA (tRNA) molecules are approximately 80 nucleotides in length. Their secondary structure includes four short double-helical elements and three loops (D, anti-codon, and T loops). Further hydrogen bonds mediate the characteristic L-shaped molecular structure. tRNAs have two regions of fundamental functional importance: the anti-codon, which is responsible for specific mRNA codon recognition, and the 3' end, to which the tRNAs corresponding amino acid is attached (by aminoacyl-tRNA synthetases). tRNAs cope with the degeneracy of the genetic code in two manners: having more than one tRNA (with a specific anti-codon) for a particular amino acid; and 'wobble' base-pairing, i.e. permitting non-standard base-pairing at the 3rd anti-codon position. The record is from RNAcentral. Lineage: Eukaryota; Metazoa; Arthropoda; Arachnida; Araneae; Eresidae.
GCCUUCGUGGUGUAGUGGUCAGCACGCUGGGCGCAUAUUCCACAGGUCCGCGGUUCGAUUCCCGGCGAAGGCG